GAUGAAGAACGCAGCGAAAUGCGAUAAGUAAUGUGAAUUGCAGAAUUCAGUGAAUCAUCGAAUCUUUGAACGCACAUUGCGCCCCUUGGUAUUCCGGGGGGCAUGCCUGUUCGAGCGUCAUUAUAACCCCUCAAGCUCAGCUUGGUGUUGGGGCCUGCCAACUGGCAGCCCUUAAAAUCAGUGGCGGCGCCAUCUGGCUCUAAGCGUAGUAAUUUCUCUCGCUAUGGAGUCCCGGUGGACGCUUGCCAGCAACCCCCAACUUUCUAUGGUUGACCUCGGAUCAGGUAGGGAUACCCGCUGAACUUAAGCAUAUCAAUAAGCGGAGGA
Molecule: unclassified non-coding RNA, 327 nt
Filed under: soil metagenome
Description: partial contains 5.8S ribosomal RNA, internal transcribed spacer 2, and large subunit ribosomal RNA
Rfam family: 5.8S ribosomal RNA (bases 1-120)
Source: RNAcentral